GCCUGUGACAAACUCAGUUUCACAGUGCUCAUAUACUUCUGUUUUUGCUGCAGACAGGAAGUCAAUAAACUAAUCAGUAUUUGUCAAAGCAAUGGAGGAAAUUUAUGCGAAUGUUGAUCCUGUUAAACCUGUCAGCCAAAUUCUUACUCCAAGCAACAGAGAUUCUAGCAGCUCCAAGAAGAAGAUCUAUUUGGUUGUUCUUAUCUCUCUGGGACUCCUGAAUGUUCUCCUGCUGACUGGACUCAUCAGCCUUGGUGUCCAUUCUCGUGAUGUAGGCAGUUUGGCUGCAGGUCUCUCCAACAUCAAAGACAAUCUGACUGAUCGUCUACAGGCCAGCAAUGACCAGCUGAGUUUCAUGACUGAACAAAGAGACCUGCUGAAAGCAAACCUUACAGAAAUGUCCAAAGAACUGAUCAGACUUCAGAGUUUGUCCAAGAAAAGUAAAAAAAACAUGUUCUGCAGGAUGGAGUAUGUUCGGCUGUUCCUGUUACUAUCUCUCUACAAGCUCUGGCUCCUGGGAUGAAGGCAGAAAGGACUGCGGGAACAGAGGAGGAGAUCUGUUGGUGAUAGACAGCGCCGACGAACAGAAAUAUGUGUCUGCAUUGACUAAAAAAUCCGUUUGGAUUGGUUUGAACGACAAAGACACUGAGGGUUCCUGGAAGUGGGUUGAUGGAAGUUCUCCAAGUUUCACGUACUGGUCAACAGCUCAACCUGAUAAUGGUGGUGAAGACUCACAGUGGGGAGAGGAGGACUGUGCAAAUAUCCUAAGCAGUGAUCCAAGGCUCUGGAAUGAUCUUUCAUGUUCUGUCUCUAUGCAGUGGAUCUGUGAAAAAGUACCAACUAAAGUGUAGUAAAAAUAUGAAUAACUUUUAUAGAACUGUUGUUGGGUUUGAGUUUUGAUUCUAGUUUCCACUGUUCUCUUUUUAUUUUACAGUGUCUUACUGGCAGCUCUGUUGAUAGUAAAGUUACUGUAGCCACCAGUGCUCUAGUUAAAUACUCACAACAGGACUACCUGUAAACUACUGCCACGUGGUUAACAGUGGUACCAUACUGGCCACAGUGCUGCCAGUAAGGCACUGGAGAUACUAGAAUUCAAGAAAAAAUAAAAUAGAAAUCAUUGCUA
This is an RNA transcript of Girardinichthys multiradiatus, 1123 nucleotides long. It is a transcript of the gene named C-type lectin domain family 4 member E-like, with no coding region annotated. The record is from RefSeq and is a predicted model, not a curated record. The transcript is spliced from 6 exons. NCBI's taxonomy places the organism in Eukaryota, Metazoa, Chordata, Actinopteri, Cyprinodontiformes, Goodeidae.